CGGGCAGGUCGAACGGUCGCCGGCUCAAUGCCAGUGCAUUGGGCGGGAGGAAAGUCCGAACUCCACAGGGCAGUGUGCCCCGUAACUCGGGGGGCUCAUGGAGUUUCUCCAUGGGUACGGAAAGUGCAACAGAAAAGACACCGCCCCGCAAGGGGUAAGGGUGAAAUGGUGCGGUAAGAGCGCACCGGGUGUCCGGCAACGGGCAUGCCUGGCAAACCCCACAUGGAGCAAGUUCAAAUAGGGAUGGAGGCGUGACCCGCGCCGCUUGACAUCCGGGUAGAAUGCUGGAUCCGGGAGGCAACUCCCGGGCUAGAGGAAUGACCGUUGCCCUCUACGAGGGAACAGAAUUCGGCUUACAGACCUGCCCAUCAC
Molecule: RNase P RNA, 372 nt
Filed under: Acidobacteriota bacterium
Lineage: Bacteria; Pseudomonadati; Acidobacteriota
Description: Acidobacteria bacterium RNase P RNA component class A
Rfam family: Bacterial RNase P class A
About the family: Ribonuclease P (RNase P) is a ubiquitous endoribonuclease, found in archaea, bacteria and eukarya as well as chloroplasts and mitochondria. Its best characterised activity is the generation of mature 5'-ends of tRNAs by cleaving the 5'-leader elements of precursor-tRNAs. Cellular RNase Ps are ribonucleoproteins.
Source: RNAcentral